GGAUCAUGGCUCAGUAGUAAAGUGCCUGCUUUGCACACAGAAGGUUCCAGGUUCAAUCCCUGGCAUCUCCA
This 71-nucleotide transfer RNA is filed under the name Sphaerodactylus townsendi. Its description in RNAcentral is "tRNA-Ala". The stretch from base 7 to 63 matches the Rfam family "tRNA", at positions 8 to 63 of the family's 71-position model. Rfam says of the family: Transfer RNA (tRNA) molecules are approximately 80 nucleotides in length. Their secondary structure includes four short double-helical elements and three loops (D, anti-codon, and T loops). Further hydrogen bonds mediate the characteristic L-shaped molecular structure. tRNAs have two regions of fundamental functional importance: the anti-codon, which is responsible for specific mRNA codon recognition, and the 3' end, to which the tRNAs corresponding amino acid is attached (by aminoacyl-tRNA synthetases). tRNAs cope with the degeneracy of the genetic code in two manners: having more than one tRNA (with a specific anti-codon) for a particular amino acid; and 'wobble' base-pairing, i.e. permitting non-standard base-pairing at the 3rd anti-codon position. Lineage: Eukaryota; Metazoa; Chordata; Lepidosauria; Squamata; Sphaerodactylidae. The record is from RNAcentral.